This 465-nucleotide ribosomal RNA is filed under the name uncultured Klebsiella sp. Its description in RNAcentral is "bacterial SSU rRNA". It matches the Rfam family "Bacterial small subunit ribosomal RNA", at positions 338 to 795 of the family's 1533-position model. Lineage: Bacteria; Pseudomonadati; Pseudomonadota; Gammaproteobacteria; Enterobacterales; Enterobacteriaceae. The record is from RNAcentral.
CCUACGGGCGGCUGCAGUGGGGAAUAUUGCACAAUGGGCGCAAGCCUGAUGCAGCCAUGCCGCGUGUGUGAAGAAGGCCUUCGGGUUGUAAAGCACUUUCAGCGGGGAGGAAGGCGGUGAGGUUAAUAACCUCAUCGAUUGACGUUACCCGCAGAAGAAGCACCGGCUAACUCCGUGCCAGCAGCCGCGGUAAUACGGAGGGUGCAAGCGUUAAUCGGAAUUACUGGGCGUAAAGCGCACGCAGGCGGUCUGUCAAGUCGGAUGUGAAAUCCCCGGGCUCAACCUGGGAACUGCAUUCGAAACUGGCAGGCUAGAGUCUUGUAGAGGGGGGUAGAAUUCCAGGUGUAGCGGUGGAAUGCGUAGAGAUCUGGAGGAAUACCGGUGGCGAAGGCGGCCCCCUGGACAAAGACUGACGCUCAGGUGCGAAAGCGUGGGGAGCAAACAGGAUUAGAUACCCCAGUAGUC